UCCAAAGCUUGCCUCAUCGUGGUUGGCAAUCACGAGUAGAGCGUAAAGGUAUAAGGCAAGUUAACUGUGAGACCUGCAAGUCGAACAGAGACGAAAGUCGGGCUUAGU
This 108-nucleotide small RNA is filed under the name Candidatus Protochlamydia amoebophila. Its description in RNAcentral is "Pseudoknot of the domain G(G12) of 23S ribosomal RNA". It matches the Rfam family "Bacterial large subunit ribosomal RNA", at positions 2309 to 2416 of the family's 2925-position model. Lineage: Bacteria; Pseudomonadati; Chlamydiota; Chlamydiia; Parachlamydiales; Parachlamydiaceae. The record is from RNAcentral.